RNAcentral lists this ribosomal RNA (497 nucleotides) under uncultured bacterium. RNAcentral describes it as "partial 16S ribosomal RNA". It matches the Rfam family "Bacterial small subunit ribosomal RNA", at positions 28 to 507 of the family's 1533-position model. The record is from RNAcentral.
GAUGAACGCUGGCGGCGUGCCUAAUACAUGCAAGUCGAGCGAACAGACGAGGAGCUUGCUCCUCUGACGUUAGCGGCGGACGGGUGAGUAACACGUGGAUAACCUACCUAUAAGACUGGGAUAACUUCGGGAAACCGGAGCUAAUACCGGAUAAUAUAUUGAACCGCAUGGUCCAAUAGUGAAAGACGGUUUUGCUGUCACUUAUAGAUGGAUCCGCGCCGCAUUAGCUAGUUGGUAAGGUAACGGCUUACCAAGGCAACGAUGCGUAGCCGACCUGAGAGGGUGAUCGGCCACACUGGAACUGAGACACGGUCCAGACUCCUACGGGAGGCAGCAGUAGGGAAUCUUCCGCAAUGGGCGAAAGCCUGACGGGGCAACGCCGCGUGAGUGAUGAAGGUCUUCGGAUCGUAAAACUCUGUUAUUAGGGAAGAACAAAUGUGUAAGUAACUAUGCACGUCUUGACGGUACCUAAUCAGAAAGCCACGGCUAACUACGUG